AGCGAACGCUGGCGGCAGGCCUAACACAUGCAAGUCGAACGAACCUUUCGGGGUUAGUGGCGGACGGGUGAGUAACACGUGGGAACGUGCCUUUAGGUUCGGAAUAACUCAGGGAAACUUGUGCUAAUACCGAAUGUGCCCUUCGGGGGAAAGAUUUAUCGCCUUUAGAGCGGCCUGCGUCUGAUUAGCUAGUUGGUUGAGGUAAUGGCUCACCAAGGCGACGAUCAGUAGCUGGUCUGAGAGGAUGAUCAGCCACAUUGGGACUGAGACACGGCCCAAACUCCUACGGGAGGCAGCAGUGGGGAAUCUUGCGCGAUGGGCGAAAGCCUGACGCAGCCAUGCCGCGUGAAUGAUGAAGGUCUUAGGAUUGUAAAAUUCUUUCACCGGGGACGAUAAUGACGGUACCCGGAGAAGAAGCCCCGGCUAACUUCGUG
RNAcentral lists this ribosomal RNA (434 nucleotides) under uncultured bacterium. RNAcentral's name for it is "partial 16S ribosomal RNA". It matches the Rfam family "Bacterial small subunit ribosomal RNA", at positions 29 to 507 of the family's 1533-position model. The record is from RNAcentral.